UCAAAUGUAAGUUGACAGAUUUCUGAAAGGGAUUCUUCUUCGGACAAUUUACAAGGUGCUGCAUGGUUGUCGUCAGCUCGUGCCGUGAGGUGUCGGGUUAAGUCCCAUAACGAGCGCAACCCUAUUCUUAGUUGCCAUCAGGUAAAGCUGGGGACUCUAAGGAAACUGCCUACGCAAGUAGAGAGGAAGGUGGGGAUGACGUCAAAUCAGCACGGCCCUUACGUCCAGGGCUACACACGUGCUACAAUGGCCAGUACAAAGGGCAGCUACCAGGUGACUGGAUGCUAAUCUCAAAAGCUGGUCUCAGUUCGGAUCGAAGUCUGCAACCCGACUUCGUGAAGCUGGAAUCGCUAGUAAUCGCGCAUCAGCCAUGGCGCGGUGAAUACGUUCCCGGGCCUU
This 399-nucleotide ribosomal RNA is filed under the name uncultured Sphingobacteriales bacterium. Its description in RNAcentral is "bacterial SSU rRNA". It matches the Rfam family "Bacterial small subunit ribosomal RNA", at positions 981 to 1382 of the family's 1533-position model. The record is from RNAcentral. Lineage: Bacteria; Pseudomonadati; Bacteroidota; Sphingobacteriia; Sphingobacteriales.